Quercus lobata is the source of this 348-nucleotide long non-coding RNA. RefSeq lists it as uncharacterized. The transcript has 3 exons. The record is from RefSeq and is a predicted model, not a curated record. Lineage: Eukaryota; Viridiplantae; Streptophyta; Magnoliopsida; Fagales; Fagaceae.
UCCAAAAUCAAAAUCCAAAACUUAGGAUGAGAAAGAAGGAAAAGCCGAUCGGAUAUGUUAGGAAACAAUUGACCCAUCAUCUUUACCUCUCAGAGCUCACCUUACUCUCCAUCUGACAAACCAAGGAAAGGAAACUCGUACAAUGAUGAAGAAGCCAAAAUUCUUGACGGCUUGCAAGGCUGACCAGCGGUUGCACUUCAAAUCCAAGGAUUGUAUUAGUGGAAAUUCAAUUUCAUUCCAGCCAAGCUAAAUAAGGUUGCUGUAAUGUUAGCUAAUUGUGCAAGUGACUCCUUCCAUUGGAUUUCCAUAACAUCCACACAAAGGUUCUGUCCUCAUUGUUGUUUUUGA